UCGGGGUACACGAGUGGCGAACGGGUGAGUAACACGUGGGUAAUCUGCCCUGCACAUCGGGAUAAGCCUGGGAAACUGGGUCUAAUACCGAAUAGGACCACAGAACACAUGUCCUGUGGUGGAAAGCUUUUGCGGUGUGGGAUGGGCCCGCGGCCUAUCAGCUUGUUGGUGGGGUGAUGGCCCACCAAGGCGACGACGGGUAGCCGGCCUGAGAGGGUGUCCGGCCACACUGGGACUGAGAUACGGCCCAGACUCCUACGGGAGGCAGCAGUGGGGAAUAUUGCACAAUGGGCGAAAGCCUGAUGCAGCGACGCCGCGUGGGGGAUGACGGCCUUCGGGUUGUAAACCUCUUUCACCAUCGACGAAGGUUCGGGUUUUCUCGGAUUGACGGUAGGUGGAGAAGAAGCACCGGCCAACUACGUGCCAGCAGCCGCGGUAAUACGUAGGGUGCGAGCGUUGUCCGGAAUUACUGGGCGUAAAGAGCUCGUAGGUGGUUUGUCGCGUUGUUCGUGAAAUCUCACGGCUUAACUGUGAGCGUGCGGGCGAUACGGGCAGACUUGAGUACUGCAGGGGAGACUGGAAUUCCUGGUGUAGCGGUGGAAUGCGCAGAUAUCAGGAGGAACACCGGUGGCGAAGGCGGGUCUCUGGGCAGUAACUGACGCUGAGGAGCGAAAGCGUGGGGAGCGAACAGGAUUAGAUACCCUGGUAGUCCACGCCGUAAACGGUGGGUACUAGGUGUGGGUUUCCUUCCUUGGGAUCCGUGCCGUAGCUAACGCAUUAAGUACCCCGCCUGGGGAGUACGGCCGCAAGGCUAAAACUCAAAGAAAUUGACGGGGGCCCGCACAAGCGGCGGAGCAUGUGGAUUAAUUCGAUGCAACGCGAAGAACCUUACCUGGGUUUGACAUGCACAGGACGCCGGCAGAGAUGUCGGUUCCCUUGUGGCCUGUGUGCAGGUGGUGCAUGGCUGUCGUCAGCUCGUGUCGUGAGAUGUUGGGUUAAGUCCCGCAACGAGCGCAACCCUUGUCUCAUGUUGCCAGCGGGUAAUGCCGGGGACUCGUGAGAGACUGCCGGGGUCAACUCGGAGGAAGGUGGGGAUGACGUCAAGUCAUCAUGCCCCUUAUGUCCAGGGCUUCACACAUGCUACAAUGGCCGGUACAAAGGGCUGCGAUGCCGCGAGGUUAAGCGAAUCCUUUUAAAGCCGGUCUCAGUUCGGAUCGGGGUCUGCAACUCGACCCCGUGAAGUCGGAGUCGCUAGUAAUCGCAGAUCAGCAACGCUGCGGUGAAUACGUUCCCGGGCCUUGUACACACCGCCCGUCACGUCAGAAAGUCGGUAACACCCGAAGCC
This 1345-nucleotide ribosomal RNA is filed under the name Mycobacterium sp. DWMJ-1748B2. RNAcentral's name for it is "bacterial SSU rRNA". It matches the Rfam family "Bacterial small subunit ribosomal RNA", at positions 82 to 1428 of the family's 1533-position model. Lineage: Bacteria; Bacillati; Actinomycetota; Actinomycetes; Mycobacteriales; Mycobacteriaceae. The record is from RNAcentral.